AUUAAACGCUGGCGGCAUGCCUUACACAUGCAAGUCGAACGGCAGCACGGGGGCAACCUUGGUGGCGAGUGGCGAACGGGUGAGUAAAGCAUCGGAACGUGCCCUGGAGUGGGGGGAUAACGUAGCGAAAGUUACGCUAAUACCGCAUAUUCUGUGAGCAGGAAAGCAGGGGAUCGCAAGACCUUGCGCUCUGGGAGCGGCCGAUGUCGGAUUAGCUAGUUGGUGGGUAAAGGCCUACCAAGGCGACGAUCCGUAGCGGGUCUGAGAGGAUGAUCCGCCACACUGGGACUGAGACACGGCCCAGACUCCUACGGGAGGCAGCAGUGGGGAAUUUUGGACAAUGGGCGAAAGCCUGAUCCAGCCAUGCCGCGUGAGUGAAGAAGGCCUGGUGUAAG
This 395-nucleotide ribosomal RNA is filed under the name uncultured bacterium. RNAcentral describes it as "bacterial SSU rRNA". It matches the Rfam family "Bacterial small subunit ribosomal RNA", at positions 29 to 429 of the family's 1533-position model. The record is from RNAcentral.